This 292-nucleotide ribosomal RNA is filed under the name uncultured bacterium. RNAcentral's name for it is "partial 16S ribosomal RNA". The record is from RNAcentral.
GGACUACCGGGGUAUCUAAUCCCGUUUGCUCCCCUGGCUUUCGCAUCUCAGUGUCAGUUUCGGACCAGAGAGCCGCUUUCGCCACCGGUGUUCCUCCCAAUAUCUACGCAUUUCACCGCUACACUGGGAAUUCCGCUCUCCUCUUCCGUACUCAAGUUCUGCAGUUUCAAAGGCAAUGAUUUGGUUGAGCCGAACCAUUUCACCUUUGACUUACAAAACCACCUACAUGCCCUUUACACCCAAUAAAUCCGGACAACGUUUGCCACCUCUGUAUUACCGCGGCUGCUGGCAC